Long non-coding RNA from Dioscorea cayenensis subsp. rotundata (Guinea yam), 2105 nucleotides. RefSeq lists it as uncharacterized. The record is from RefSeq and is a predicted model, not a curated record. NCBI's taxonomy places the organism in Eukaryota, Viridiplantae, Streptophyta, Magnoliopsida, Dioscoreales, Dioscoreaceae. The transcript is spliced from 5 exons.
UCAAACAUCUGAGCUUCAGUACAAGCUCCAUUCUCCAACCCACACUGCGCAUCUGGCGCUAAUCUCCAUCCCACAGCCAUGCUCGAGCAUUAAGGUUCGCCAUUCCUCCCAUGACGAGCUUACGACCUCGCCAUACCAUGCUUCGAUCACAUCACCAGCUCACACCAACAUUAAAGACCAAAACUAACUCUGGCCGAUGUGGUUUUGGUUUUCUUGAAUGAAAAUUUGAAAUCAUAGUUUCUUCCAUUCUAAUCUGUAUUGACCCAAAAUGCCUUGUCAAUUAGGAGCUGUAAUUUCAUUGUUGUUGCUGCUGUGCUUUCUGGAAACCACAACUUUGAGGGCAGAGUGCAUCCUUUGACUGGGGCUAUUAUCUUGCUUCACCUCCACUUGUGGUGGCAUAUGCUCUUACCGGCACUAAGCAAGCCAAAGAACUGGAAGCAAAAUGGGACUCAAUUGUAAUUGAAGAAGAGGAGACUGUGAAAGACUAUUAUGAUUUCCUGCAACAGUAUAGAAGUCUAAAGGAAGAUGUCCAUGACAUUACCUGCGACGUUAUAAUUAAUUUUGAAAGGGUGAUAGGCACAGCUGACGAUAAGGGAUUAUCAACGAGCUGAUUUAGAUUUUGGCUUUUAUGAUCAGUAAAAGGCUACAUUCAGUAUUCCUAUUCAGUUGCUAAUGGAUUUGAUUUCUAAAAAUUUGUGUCGCAGAUAAAAGACCUGAAGAUGCAGAAUACAAUGAUAAUAUUCUAACAAAGUGUGUUCUGGAUAAGAGUGUUGGUGCAAAGAAAUCAGCAAGAGUAGAGAAGAUGCGAGGAACUUGAAGCAGAUGGGGCUAAUUAGUUGCUAACCACCACCACAUCCUAGAAGUUCUAGAUAGUGAACACUAUUUAGAGAAGAGGUUGCUUUAGUACUAUAAUUUGGAGAACUUUCAGCUCCAUGCUGUCAAGAUUUGUUGAUCAAAGUCAUUGAAGCUCAGAGCAAAAUUGGUAAUACACUCAGAAGAAAGCAAACAUGAUUUCAUGGUGAUGUUGAAGGAAUUGGUGGGCUAAUAAAAUUAGGCUGUACUAGGGGAACAAUUCACUUCCUGUCAUUUCUGUUCCUUUUCCGGAAUUCUCAUUUUUCAGAUGAAUAUUGCUUCUUCGUCAGUAGAUUAUGGAAUGCCAUAUUUAGUGCUGAGGUUGUUGACACUAGCAUAGCUUCUAUUUUGGUGACAUCUGAACUGCCUACACUAGUAGAUCAAUCUACAGAGAAUUCGCAUUUUAUCUUUGCACGAAAUUACUGAAAAUUUAGCAGUGAUGAGUGAGAUUUGUUUUCUUUAGUAAAUAGAGAGUUUGACCUUAAAGAAUUGAAUAGCAAGUUCUGUUGACAGAAUAGUUGAUGGAUUAAUUAAUUGUCUAUAUAAACUCUGCAUAAGAAAAAGUGGCAAAAAUUUUUAACCUGUGCAUGCAGAAUAGAAAGCAAGUUCAGAAACUCUGUAGUUCCUUCUGAUAUCACCAUUUGUUCUCUGAAUUUUUCCCUUCUGUAAUUUUGUAUAUACACAUCAGUCAUUUUUCCUUGAUCAUAUCAAACAACUCUUGUCCCGUGCCAGUUUGUUUUGUAAAUGAUGUAAAACAAUUUACUCUCUCUGUAACAUGACAGGACCACCUCUAUCAAAAAAUCAUAGCUUCUUAAGAAGGAAAGAAAGAAGAUAAGAGAAAUGGUUAUCAUACAAAAGAAAGCCACAGGAAAUGGACUUGAGUUACUAAAGCAAGCACACACACACACAAAAAGCCUAAGCUUAAGCCACUGUUUCCUACAUUUCCUUUUGUUAUUUUUACACUCCCUUUGCAUUUGUCUCAUGCUUUUCUACCCCUCAUCUCUUCGCCGCACGCUAAAGCUAUCAGACAUUCUCACCAGCCCUACAUGAACCAAAGAAGCUCUAGGAGCCUUUUUAGAUAAUCCAUGAUUCCAUGCACACCCACACCUAACAAGAACUAAUAAAGUCCAUGCACUUAUUAAAAAAAGAAAAAAGAAAAGCCUCAGAUGCCUAUACGUGGCAUAACGAGCCUCUGAAUAUUCCCAUUUGUCCCCACAUUUUUUUCUUUAGUAACACAGCUGUUUACUUCUUUU